Molecule: ribosomal RNA, 903 nt
Filed under: Sinomonas sp.
Lineage: Bacteria; Bacillati; Actinomycetota; Actinomycetes; Micrococcales; Micrococcaceae
Description: bacterial SSU rRNA
Rfam family: Bacterial small subunit ribosomal RNA
Source: RNAcentral
CUGCAGUCGGACGAUGAAGCCCUUACGGGGUGGAUUAGUGGCGAACGGGUGAGUAACACGUGAGCAACCUGCCCUUGACUCUGGGAUAAGCCUGGGAAACUGGGUCUAAUACCGGAUAGUACCCUCUGCCGCAUGGUGGGGGGUGGAAAGCCUUGUGCGGUCUUGGAUGGGCUCGCGGCCUAUCAGCUUGUUGGUGGGGUGAUGGCCUACCAAGGCGACGACGGGUAGCCGGCCUGAGAGGGUGACCGGCCACACUGGGACUGAGACACGGCCCAGACUCCUACGGGAGGCAGCAGUGGGGAAUAUUGCACAAUGGGCGAAAGCCUGAUGCAGCGACGCCGCGUGGGGGAUGACGGCCUUCGGGUUGUAAACCCCUUUCGGCAGGGAACAAGCCGCUUCGGUGGUGAGGGUACCUGCGGAAGAAGCGCCGGCUAACUACGUGCCAGCAGCCGCGGUAAUACGUAGGGCGCGAGCGUUAUCCGGAAUUAUUGGGCGUAAAGAGCUCGUAGGCGGUUUGUCGCGUCUGCUGUGAAAGCCCGGGGCUCAACCCCGGGUCUGCAGUGGGUACGGGCAGGCUGGAGUGCAGUAGGGGAGACUGGAAUUCCUGGUGUAGCGGUGAAAUGCGCAGAUAUCAGGAGGAACACCGAUGGCGAAGGCAGGUCUCUGGGCUGUAACUGACGCUGAGGAGCGAAAGCAUGGGGAGCGAACAGGAUUAGAUACCCUGGUAGUCCAUGCCGUAAACGUUGGGCACUAGGUGUGGGGGCCAUUCCACGGUUUCCGCGCCGCAGCUAACGCAUUAAGUGCCCCGCCUGGGGAGUACGGCCGCAAGGCUAAAACUCAAAGGAAUUGACGGGGGCCCGCACAAGCGGCGGAGCAUGCGGAUUAAUUCGAUGCAACGCGAAG